UGUAGGUUCUACCCGUGUAACAGAUGAGGAAACCAAGGAGCACAGUUAUUUACUAACUUGCACAAGCAUCUAAAUGAUAUUUGAAGCCAUGAGACAGGAUUUAGGAACCAGGAGAGUGAAUCUUGAUAAUAAACGCAGUGGCCUCAAAUUCAGCUGUGGAACAUUUCAAAGUUACAUGGUUGGAGAUUGGACGAUGAGUUUCUGAAUGAAGUAAGAAGGACCUGCAAGCAAGACAUGAGAGAGAAGAGGGAAGGUUAUGUUGUCCCUGAAAUAAAGGAACAGUUUCCAGAGCCACAGAGCCAUCAAAGGUCUUCUGUUCAACCUAUCUGCUGCAUCCUAGAUGAUGAAACACAAUUCUCAGAAAGUACUGGCUCCAAACUGACAUUUUAGCUGUGCGGGCCUUUUCAACUCUCUCUCCAGCUGACAGCUUCUGGAUGGUUCUGGGGACUGAGAAGUUUAAGAUCAAGGCAGCCGCAAGUUUGGUGUCUGAUAAGGACCCCACCUCUGCUUCUAAGAUGCAACCUCCAGAGGGAGGGAACACUGUUCCCCACAUGGCAGAACAGAGGAGCUGAAAUUCAUUUCUGAAUGCCCUUUUCAACAGUUGUUUAACCCACCCAUGUGGGCAGAUCCCUCCUGGCCUAAUCACCUCAUAAAGGCCUCACUUCCCAAUAUCAUUACACUGAUGAUUAAAUAUCAACGUUAAGUUUUGAUAUAAAUAUUCAAACCAUGGCAGUUGUCUAUUUGAAUUUUACCUUCAAAAACUCUGUUCACUUACAUUAUCAUGUGGAACACCAUACUUCUUUGAGUUUGCUUCUUUCUUUCUCUCUCUCUCCCUCUCUGGAUAUGCCUUCUCAGUUCCUCUUCAUUCAAUUUAUUCUGCCUGUUCUUUACAAUAUGUCUAUUAUUUAGAGAUCAGUGACAGUUCAAAUUGCUUCUUAUUUGUAAUGACUUUUAUCUCAUUUUCAUGCCUUUAAUUAUUAUUGAUGGACUGAUAAUUCCCAGGUCUCUUCUGCCAGCUCAGAUAUCACUAAUCAUAGCUGGAUUUAUAUAUACACUGCUUUUGAGACAUCAUUCAAAUCAUGCUUCUCAAAAGAUGACCCAAGUUCUUUGAUUCUUAGUUGUUGGGGUGUGUGUGUGUGUAUGUGUAUGUGUGUGUGUGUGUGCACAUAUUUCUAUACACGGCACUACUACAAUUCACCCACACCCCAAGUCAGACACAAGUUCAUUGACAUUGUCACAGGCCACAGACAAUGAUGUCACAGAAACUCUUAGUGAAAUUGUAUACUUUUGAGGGUGCGAUCCCAGAAUCUGAAGCCAGAAUCAUGCUUUUUUAAAGUAACUGCAUGAUCUUGGGCAAUUAAUGCAAUAAUUCUGUGCCUUAAUUCCCACAUCUGCCAAAUUGAAAUUAAAGUAGAACUCAACACAAAGGUUUUUGUGUGGGUUAAAUACAUUGAGAUAUACACAGCACCUAACUAUAUAAACACUCUAUGUGGCAGCUACUGCUGUGUUAAGAGUAUCAUGAUUGAUAACAUCUACUAAAUCUCUCCCUCUUGCCUCACUGUUAUUUUGCUAAUUCAGAAUUCUAUGAUUUUGAAAGUAUCACUGAAAAAGCUAACUUCUCUCUGAAAAAGCUAACUUCUCUCCUCAGUGUUGUUGGUUCAUAAUCCUUUCUAUGUAUUACAGUGAUUUUACUAAAAUGGGAAUAGGAUCAAGUUGCUUCUUUAAAUAAAAUUCUUUAAUAAGGUUAUACAAUAUUUUCCUAUAUGUUCAUUCUUGUUCCUCCUGGCUAUCCAUCCGCCUUAUUAGGAAUUUUCUGGUUGUUUUAUCUUUCUACAUAAAAUUUGGGCUUGACUUCACAGUGAUUGCAGAAAACAUUUCUAUUUUACUGUUCUUUUAAAUUUAUAUAUUAAUAUUGACAGAAUUGUCAUCAUUAUGGUGUUGUGUUUUUAUUACAAG
RNAcentral lists this long non-coding RNA (1956 nucleotides) under Homo sapiens (human). RNAcentral describes it as "HSALNT0248454". The record is from RNAcentral. Lineage: Eukaryota; Metazoa; Chordata; Mammalia; Primates; Hominidae.